RNAcentral lists this transfer RNA (73 nucleotides) under Mustela putorius furo (domestic ferret). It matches the Rfam family "tRNA". From Rfam's summary of the family: Transfer RNA (tRNA) molecules are approximately 80 nucleotides in length. Their secondary structure includes four short double-helical elements and three loops (D, anti-codon, and T loops). Lineage: Eukaryota; Metazoa; Chordata; Mammalia; Carnivora; Mustelidae. The record is from Rfam by way of RNAcentral.
ACCUGGCUGGCGCAAUGGGAAGAGCAUGUGAUUUCUGAUCACAGGGUUGUGAGUUCUAGCCCCACGUUGGGGG